UUGCUCACUUAGGCAGCACAUAUACUAAAAUUGGAAUGAUACAGAGAAGACUAGCAUGGCCUCUUUGCAAGGAUUACACGCAAAUUUGUGAAGCAUUUCUUAUUUUA
Aotus nancymaae (Ma's night monkey) is the source of this 107-nucleotide small nuclear RNA. NCBI's taxonomy places the organism in Eukaryota, Metazoa, Chordata, Mammalia, Primates, Aotidae. The record is from Ensembl.